UGGGGAAUUUUGGACAAUGGGCGAAAGCCUGAUCCAGCAAUGCCGCGUGUGUGAAGAAGGCCUUCGGGUUGUAAAGCACUUUUGUCCGGAAAGAAAUCCUUGGCUCUAAUACAGUCGGGGGAUGACGGUACCGGAAGAAUAAGCACCGGCUAACUACGUGCCAGCAGCCGCGGUAAUACGUAGGGUGCAAGCGUUAAUCGGAAUUACUGGGCGUAAAGCGUGCGCAGGCGGUUUGCUAAGACCGAUGUGAAAUCCCCGGGCUCAACCUGGGAACUGCAUUGGUGACUGGCAGGCUAGAGUAUGGCAGAGGGGGGUAGAAUUCCACGUGUAGCAGUGAAAUGCGUAGAGAUGUGGAGGAAUACCGAUGGCGAAGGCAGCCCCCUGGGCCAAUACUGACGCUCAUGCACGAAAGCGUGGGGAGCAAACAGGAUUAGAUACCCUGGUAGUCCACGCCCUAAACGAUGUCAACUAGUUGUGGGGAUUCAUUUCCUUAGUAACGUAGCUAACGCGUGAAGUUGACCGCCUGGGGAGUACGGUCGCAAGAUUAAAACUC
Molecule: ribosomal RNA, 553 nt
Filed under: uncultured bacterium
Lineage: Bacteria
Description: partial 16S ribosomal RNA
Rfam family: Bacterial small subunit ribosomal RNA
Source: RNAcentral